UGAGGAAUAUUGGUCAAUGGACGCAAGUCUGAACCAGCCAAGUAGCGUGCAGGAUGACGGCCCUAUGGGUUGUAAACUGCUUUUAUGCGGGGAUAAAGUGAGGGACGUGUCCCUUUUGUAGGUACCGCAUGAAUAAGGACCGGCUAAUUCCGUGCCAGCAGCCGCGGUAAUACGGAAGGUCCGGGCGUUAUCCGGAUUUAUUGGGUUUAAAGGGAGCGUAGGCCGUCGUUUAAGCGUGUUGUGAAAUGCCGCGGCUCAACCGUGGCACUGCAGCGCG
This 277-nucleotide ribosomal RNA is filed under the name uncultured Prevotella sp. RNAcentral's name for it is "partial 16S ribosomal RNA". It matches the Rfam family "Bacterial small subunit ribosomal RNA", at positions 355 to 630 of the family's 1533-position model. The record is from RNAcentral. Lineage: Bacteria; Pseudomonadati; Bacteroidota; Bacteroidia; Bacteroidales; Prevotellaceae.